Molecule: non-coding RNA, 90 nt
Organism: Caerostris darwini
Lineage: Eukaryota; Metazoa; Arthropoda; Arachnida; Araneae; Araneidae
Source: the annotation of a GenBank genome assembly
AACGGCCGUACCAUGCUGAAUAUACCGGUUCUCGUUAGAUCACCGAAGUGAAGCAUCAUUGGGCGUGGUCAGUACUUUCACCACCUGGAA